UUUGUAAAUGGCCGCAGUAUUCUGACUGUGCUAAGGUAGCAUAAUCAUUAGUCUCUUAAUUAGAGGCUGGUAUGAAUGGCGAGACGAGAAAAAAGCUGUCUCUAAAAUAUUUGUCGAAUUUCAUUUUUAAGUGAAAAAGCUUAAAUGCAUUUGGAGGACGAUCAGACCCUUUGGAGCUUUAUUUCAUUAAAGUUUUAGGUUAUUUUUAUAACAAAAAUUGUGAUGAAAUUUUGUUGGGGCGACAUAAAGUUAAAAGAUACCACUUUAUUUAAAAAACAUAAGUAGAUGGAAAAUUGAUCCCCCCAGGGGGAUUAGAAGACUAAGUUACCCUAGGGAUAACAGCGUAAUCUUUUUGGAGAGUUCUUAUCGAUAAAAAGGUUUGCGACCUCGAUGUUGGAUUAAGAAAUUAGCAAGGUGCAGAAGUUUUGCUGGAAAGUCUGUUCGACUUUUAAUUUCUUACAUGAUCUGAGUUCAAA
RNAcentral lists this ribosomal RNA (476 nucleotides) under Daphnia pulex (common water flea). RNAcentral's name for it is "partial 16S ribosomal RNA". It matches the Rfam family "Bacterial large subunit ribosomal RNA", at positions 1920 to 2615 of the family's 2925-position model. The record is from RNAcentral. Lineage: Eukaryota; Metazoa; Arthropoda; Branchiopoda; Diplostraca; Daphniidae.